Long non-coding RNA from Panthera uncia (snow leopard), 579 nucleotides. RefSeq lists it as uncharacterized. Lineage: Eukaryota; Metazoa; Chordata; Mammalia; Carnivora; Felidae. The transcript has 4 exons. The record is from RefSeq and is a predicted model, not a curated record.
UUUAUUGGGCAACUAUGGUGUACUGAGCACUGGGCUGCGGGGUAGCCGUGCAUUAUCUCACUUACUCUUCAACACCUUAUGAAGGAAAGCUACCCUUAGCUCCAUUUUACAAAGGAAACUAAAUCAGCAAGUCAGUUUCUAGAAGGCCAUGGGAGUAAACAGAAGCAUGAAGAAUGAAUCCUCAGUGCAUCUAGGAAGAGUGCCCAGGUCUUAACCUCUACCUUAUUCUCAACCAGGGCCCGUGUACCCCUAUUCCGGCCUGCUUCUGGUGCUGGGCCUCCAAGACCCAGAAAUGACUGAUGAGUAAAAUGGGGACAGUGUGAUGACAGUACUUCAUAGAGUUUUAUGUGAGGGCGAAGUGAGAUCCUACAUGUCUGGCACAAAGCUGACGUUUGGUCUCAGCCUGAUCCAGUUGAGGGAAGCCACUGACCUACAGCACAAAGGAAGUGUCCCAACCCAGGCCAGAGCUCCCGGCCCUUGGCAUGGAGAACGGCACAUAGCAAAUGCUCAGGAGAUUUUGUUGACUCAAAUAAGAGAUAUCUAAAACAGGACAAACCAUGGUGUUUUUAAGAAACAAAA